This 331-nucleotide ribosomal RNA is filed under the name uncultured bacterium. Its description in RNAcentral is "bacterial SSU rRNA". It matches the Rfam family "Bacterial small subunit ribosomal RNA", at positions 30 to 387 of the family's 1533-position model. The record is from RNAcentral.
AUUGAACGCUGGCGGCAUGGCUAAAACAUGCAAGUCGAACGCGUGUAGCAAUACACGAGUGGCGAAAGGGCGAGGAAUAGAUUCCUACGUACCCCGGAGUCAGGGAUAACCAUCGGAAACGAUGGCUAACACCUGAUGAUCUCGAAAGAGCAAAGUUUACGCUCUGGGAGCGGGGAAUCUCCUAUCAGCUAGUUGGUGAGGUAACGGCUCACCAAGGCGAAGACGGGUAGCGGGUGUGAGAGCACGGCCCGCCGCAUCGGGACUGAGACACUGCCCGGACUCCUACGGGAGGCUGCAGUAACGAAUCUUCCGCAAUGCGCGAAAGCGUGAC